CAGUAGCCGCGGGAAUACGUAGGGUGCAAGCGUUAAUCGGAAUUACUGGGCGUAAAGCGUGCGCAGGCGGUUCGGAAAGAAAGGUGUGAAAUCCCAGGGCUUAACCUUGGAACUGCACUUUUAACUACCGGGCUAGAGUGUGUCAGAGGGGGGUGGAAUUCCGCGUGUAGCAGUGAAAUGCGUAGAGAUGCGGAGGAACACCGAUGGCGAAGGCAGCCCCCUGGGAUAACACUGACGCUCAUGCACGAAAGCGUGGGGAGCAAACAGGAUUAGAUACCCCUGUAGUCCCUGUCUCUUAUAC
Molecule: ribosomal RNA, 301 nt
Filed under: uncultured bacterium
Lineage: Bacteria
Description: partial 16S ribosomal RNA
Rfam family: Bacterial small subunit ribosomal RNA
Source: RNAcentral